RNAcentral lists this ribosomal RNA (497 nucleotides) under uncultured bacterium. RNAcentral describes it as "partial 16S ribosomal RNA". It matches the Rfam family "Bacterial small subunit ribosomal RNA", at positions 28 to 507 of the family's 1533-position model. The record is from RNAcentral.
GAUGAACGCUGGCGGCGUGCCUAAUACAUGCAAGUCGAGCGAACAGACGAGGAGCUUGCUCCUCUGACGUUAGCGGCGGACGGGUGAGUAACACGUGGAUAACCUACCUAUAAGACUGGGAUAACUUCGGGAAACCGGGGCUAAUACCGGAUAAUAUAUUGAACCGCAUGGUUCAAUAGUGAAAGACGGUUUUGCUGUCACUUAUAGAUGGAUCCGCGCCGCAUUAGCUAGUUGGUAAGGUAACGGCUUACCAAGGCAACGAUGCGUAGCCGACCUGAGAGGGUGAUCGGCCACACUGGAACUGAGACACGGUCCAGACUCCUACGGGAGGCAGCAGUAGGGAAUCUUCCGCAAUGGGCGAAAGCCUGACGGAGCAACGCCGCGUGAAUGAUGAAGGUCUUCGGAUCGUAAAACUCUGUUAUUAGGGAAGAACAAAUGUGUAAGUAACUAUGCACGUCUUGACGGUACCUAAUCAGAAAGCCACGGCUAACUACGUG